CAAAUUAUCCACUCCUGACCUGGGGAGGUAGUGAUAAAAAAUUAGCAAUACAGGACUCUUUCAAUGCUCUGUAAUAGGAAUGAGUUGUUUAAAUCCUUUAAUGAGGAUCCAUU
This 113-nucleotide ribosomal RNA is filed under the name Ailuropoda melanoleuca (giant panda). Its description in RNAcentral is "similar to 18S ribosomal RNA". Lineage: Eukaryota; Metazoa; Chordata; Mammalia; Carnivora; Ursidae. The record is from RNAcentral.